AUUGAACGCUGGCGGCAUGCCUUACACAUGCAAGUCGAACGGCAGCACGGGUGCUUGCACCUGGUGGCGAGUGGCGAACGGGUGAGUAAUACAUCGGAACAUGUCCUGUAGUGGGGGAUAGCCCGGCGAAAGCCGGAUUAAUACCGCAUACGAUCUACGGAUGAAAGCGGGGGACCUUCGGGCCUCGCGCUAUGGGGUUGGCCGAUGGCUGAUUAGCUAGUUGGUGGUGUAAAGGCCUACCAAGGCGACGAUCAGUAGCUGGUCUGAGAGGACGACCAGCCACACUGGGACUGAGACACGGCCCAGACUCCUACGGGAGGCAGCAGUGGGGAAUUUUGGACAAUGGGCGAAAGCCUGAUCCAGCAAUGCCGCGUGUGUGAAGAAGGCCUUCGGGUUGUAAAGCACUUUUGUCCGGAAAGAAAUCCUUGGCCCUAAUACGGUCGGGGGAUGACGGUACCGGAAGAAUAAGCACCGGCUAACUACGUG
Molecule: ribosomal RNA, 486 nt
Filed under: uncultured bacterium
Lineage: Bacteria
Description: partial 16S ribosomal RNA
Rfam family: Bacterial small subunit ribosomal RNA
Source: RNAcentral